This 90-nucleotide transfer RNA is filed under the name Croceibacterium xixiisoli. RNAcentral's name for it is "tRNA-Ser". It matches the Rfam family "tRNA". From Rfam's summary of the family: Transfer RNA (tRNA) molecules are approximately 80 nucleotides in length. Their secondary structure includes four short double-helical elements and three loops (D, anti-codon, and T loops). Lineage: Bacteria; Pseudomonadati; Pseudomonadota; Alphaproteobacteria; Sphingomonadales; Erythrobacteraceae. The record is from RNAcentral. RNAcentral also lists the same sequence under 1 other name.
GGAGAGGUGGCAGAGUGGUCGAUCGCGCCGCACUCGAAAUGCGGUUUACGGGUGACCGUAACGUGGGUUCGAAUCCCACCCUCUCCGCCA